Long non-coding RNA from Mus musculus (house mouse), 906 nucleotides. RefSeq annotates it as predicted gene, 29791. The record is from RefSeq and is a predicted model, not a curated record. Lineage: Eukaryota; Metazoa; Chordata; Mammalia; Rodentia; Muridae. The transcript has 5 exons.
UCUCUGUGCUGUCUUCCAUCCCUGGGAGGGAUGUUCUGCCCAGGGAGAAGGCCCUGGCCUGUCUGGAGCCAGUUCCCUGUCUUCAUUGCAGAUCCCCCACAGGACCUGAGAGUGACUGUUUCCCAAGCAAACAGGACAGGUAGAAACGAUGGACAGAGGAAGCUGGGCAUCUGCGUGGGGAAUGGGAGGCAUCCCAGUUGAUGGGCCACCUGGCAACUCUGCCUUCUGUUCUCCCCCAGUGUUGGAAAUCCUCAGGAAUGCCAUCUCCCUCCCAGUCCUGGAGGGCCAAAGCCUGUGCCUAGUCUGUGUCACCUAUAGCAAUCCCCCAGCCAAUGUGAGUUGGGCUUGGGUGACACAGACCCUGAUCCCAAUCCAGUCUUCAGAGCCUGGGGUACUGGAGCUGCCUCUGGUCCAGAGAGAACAUGAAGGAGAAUUCACCUGUGCUGCACAGAACCCACUGGGUGCCCAGCGCAUCUCUCUGAGCCUCUGUGCACUACUUGCCCCAGAUGUCCAGCCCCUCCUGCUCCUGGGAGGCCGAGGGUCUGCACUGCAACUGCUCCUCCAGAGCCUGGCCUGCCCCCUCCCUGCGCUGGCGGCUGGGGGAGGGUCCCAGAGUGAAGACCUGUAGAGUGGUCACUCACUGCCAAGAUGGUUACCGCCAGGAACGAAAUGCUGUCUGACCUGGAGCUUGUCUGAAAGAGUCAGAGGGAUCCUGAACAUCCACCUUGGCCUCCCGGGUGCAGCAAUGUGUACUUUGCAGACAGGUUGUCCCAAGCCUCAGCUUCUCUAUCUGCUGAGUGAGGAUGCUAGUGUCUCCUGCUAUACAUGUGUGAGAUUUCAUGAAACUCGCCGUCAGCAACAGAGAACCCAACGUUACUACCAUGAAAUAAAUAUACACAAAUGAGU